GUAGGUGGCAAGCGUUGUCCGGAAUUAUUGGGCGUAAAGCGCGCGCAGGCGGUUCCUUAAGUCUGAUGUGAAAGCCCCCGGCUCAACCGGGGAGGGUCAUUGGAAACUGGGGAACUUGAGUGCAGAAGAGGAGAGCGGAAUUCCACGUGUAGCGGUGAAAUGCGUAGAGAUGUGGAGGAACACCAGUGGCGAAGGCGGCUCUCUGGUCUGUAACUGACGCUGAGGCGCGAAAGCGUGGGGAGCGAACAGGAUUAGAUACCCUGGUAGUCCACGCCGUAAACGAUGAGUGCUAAGUGUUAGAGGGUUUCCCGCCCUUUAGUGCUGCAGCAAACCGCAUUAAGCACUCCGCCUGGGAGUACGGCCGCAAGGCUG
Molecule: ribosomal RNA, 372 nt
Filed under: uncultured organism
Description: partial 16S ribosomal RNA
Rfam family: Bacterial small subunit ribosomal RNA
Source: RNAcentral